This 450-nucleotide ribosomal RNA is filed under the name uncultured bacterium. RNAcentral's name for it is "partial 16S ribosomal RNA". It matches the Rfam family "Bacterial small subunit ribosomal RNA", at positions 354 to 796 of the family's 1533-position model. The record is from RNAcentral.
GUCGAGAAUAAUUCACAAUGGACGAAAGUCUGAUGGUGCAACGCCGCGUGGAGGAUGACGGUCUUCGGAUUGUAAACUCCUGUCAUCCGGGAGUAAGACCUGGCUGUGAAUAGCAGACAGGGUUGAUAGUAUCGGAAGAGGAAGGGACGGCUAACUUCGUGCCAGCAGCCGCGGUAAUACGAAGGUCCCAAGCGUUGUUCGGAAUCACUGGGCGUAAAGGGAGCGUAGGCUGCGCGGUAAGUCAGGUGUGAAAUCCCGGGGCUCAACCCCGGAACUGCACCCGAUACUGCCGUGCUAGAGGGUUGGAGAGGUGACUGGAAUUCUCGGUGUAGCAGUGAAAUGCGUGGAUAUCGAGAGGAACACUCGUGGCGAAGGCGAGUCACUGGACAACAUCUGACGCUGAGGCUCGAAGGCCAGGGGAGCAAAAGGGAUUAGAAACCCGGGUAGUCC